GACGAACGCUGGCGGCGUGCUUAACACAUGCAAGUCGAGCGGUAAGGCCCUUUCGGGGGUACGACGAGCGGCGAACGGGUGAGUAACACGUGGGUGACCUGCCCUUACGCUCUGGGAUAAGCCUGGGAAACUGGGUCUAAUACCGGAUAUGACUCCAUGACGCAUGUUGUGGGGUGGAAAGCCUUGUGCGGCUAGGGAUGGGCCCGCGGCCUAUCAGCUUGUUGGUGGGGUGAUGGCCACCAAGGCGACGACGGGUAGCCGGCCUGAGAGGGCGACCGGCCACACUGGGACGUGAGACACGGCCCAGACUCCUACGGGAGGGCAGCAGUGGGGAAUCUUGCGCAAUGGGCGAAAGCCUGACGCAGCGACGCCGCGUGGGGAGUGAC
RNAcentral lists this ribosomal RNA (386 nucleotides) under uncultured bacterium. RNAcentral describes it as "bacterial SSU rRNA". It matches the Rfam family "Bacterial small subunit ribosomal RNA", at positions 28 to 412 of the family's 1533-position model. The record is from RNAcentral.